CAAUAGCGUAUAUUAAAGUUGUUGCAGUUAAAAAGCUCGUAGUUGGAUUUCGGGGUGGCCUGCCUGGUCCACCGCAAGGCGAGUACUGGUCAGCCGCCCUUCCUCUCGAAAGCCCCGACUGCUCUUCAUUGCAGUGGUCGGGUAGUUCGGGACGUUUACUUUGAAAAAAUUAGAGUGUUCAAGGCAGGCUAUCGCCUGAAUACAUUAGCAUGGAAUAAUGGAAGAGGACCUCGGUCCUAUUUUGUUGGUUUCUAGGGCCGAAGUAAUGAUUAAGAGGGACAGUUGGGGGCAUUCGUAUUUAAUUGUCAGAGGUGAAAUUCUUGGAUUUAUGAAAGACGAACUAGUGCGAAAGCAUUUGCCAAGGAUGUUUUCAUUAA
Molecule: ribosomal RNA, 377 nt
Filed under: uncultured eukaryote
Lineage: Eukaryota
Description: partial 18S ribosomal RNA
Rfam family: Eukaryotic small subunit ribosomal RNA
Source: RNAcentral